This 698-nucleotide ribosomal RNA is filed under the name Peronospora ficariae. RNAcentral describes it as "LSU rRNA". It matches the Rfam family "Eukaryotic large subunit ribosomal RNA", at positions 88 to 628 of the family's 3401-position model. The record is from RNAcentral. Lineage: Eukaryota; Oomycota; Peronosporomycetes; Peronosporales; Peronosporaceae.
GGCCAGUGAAGCGGGAUGAGCUCAAGCUUAAAAUCUCCGUACAAGUUUUGUACGGCGAAUUGUAGUCUAUAGAGGCGUGGUCAGCGUGGGCUCUUGGGGCAAGUUCCUUGGAAAAGGACAGCAUGGAGGGUGAUACUCCCGUUCAUCUCCGAGUGGCUCGUGCGUACVACCCGUUUUCUUUGAGUCGCGUUGUUUGAGAAUGCAGCGCAAAGUAGGUGGUAAAUUCCAUCUAAAGCUAAAUAUUGGUGCGAGACCGAUAGCAUACAAGUACCGUGAGGGAAAGAUGAAAAGAACUUUGAAAAGAGAGUUAAAGAGUACCUGAAACUGCUGAAAGGGAACCGAAUCGUUUCCAGUGUCUAUAAUCUGUGGCAUAUUUCAUKGGCGAGUGUGUGCGUGCGUGUGCUGUGGCAGCGGCCUUUUGGCUGCGCWUGGCGUGUGUGGUGUGUGUGCYYGCUGGUGCCCUGUGCUGCGGUGGGACGUCAAUGUCAGUUCGUAUGCUGCGGGAAAUGGCUGCCGAGGAGGUAGGGCUUACGCUUGCGUUUGUCUGUUAUAUCUUGGUGGACGAGUCGUCGCGGUUGGGACUGAGGUGCCUACAACGUGCUUUUGAGUGGGUUUGUGUCUCCGUGUGUGCCGUGUGCGGAUAGCUUGCUAUGCGUGUGUGGUUAUGUGUGGAUUGAUAUGGGCUUUAACUUGUUGCC